RNAcentral lists this ribosomal RNA (484 nucleotides) under uncultured bacterium. RNAcentral's name for it is "partial 16S ribosomal RNA". It matches the Rfam family "Bacterial small subunit ribosomal RNA", at positions 30 to 507 of the family's 1533-position model. The record is from RNAcentral.
AUUGAACGCUGGCGGAAUGCUUUACACAUGCCAGUCGAACGGCAGCACGGGGGCAGCCCUGGUGGCGAGUGGCGAACGGGUGAGUAAUACAUCGGAACGUGCCCGGUCGUGGGGGAUAACGUAGCGAAAGUUACGCUAAUACCGCAUACGAUCUGAGGAUGAAAGCGGGGGACCUUCGGGCCUCGCGCGAUCGGAGCGGCCGAUGUCAGAUUAGGUAGUUGGUGGGGUAAAGGCCUACCAAGCCGACGAUCUGUAGCUGGUCUGAGAGGACGACCAGCCACACUGGGACUGAGACACGGCCCAGACUCCUACGGGAGGCAGCAGUGGGGAAUUUUGGACAAUGGGCGCAAGCCUGAUCCAGCCAUUCCGCGUGCAGGACGAAGGCCUUCGGGUUGUAAACUGCUUUUGUACGGAACGAAAAGGCUCUGGCUAAUACCUGGGGCUCAUGACGGUACCGUAGGAAUAAGCACCGGCUAACUACGUG